Molecule: ribosomal RNA, 496 nt
Filed under: uncultured bacterium
Lineage: Bacteria
Description: partial 16S ribosomal RNA
Rfam family: Bacterial small subunit ribosomal RNA
Source: RNAcentral
GAUGAACGCUGGCGGCGUGCCUAAUACAUGCAAGUCGAGCGAACAGACGAGGAGCUUGCUCCUCUGACGUUAGCGGCGGACGAGUGAGUAACACGUGGAUAACCUACCUAUAAGACUGGGAUAACUUCGGGAAACCGGAGCUAAUACCGGAUAAUAUAUUGAACCGCAUGGUUCAAUAGUGAAAGACGGUUUUGCUGUCACUUAUAGAUGGAUCCGCGCCGCAUUAGCUAGUUGGUAAGGUAACGGCUUACCAAGGCGACGAUGCGUAGCCGACCUGAGAGGGUGAUCGGCCACACUGGAACUGAGACACGGUCCAGACUCCUACGGGAGGCAGCAGUAGGGAAUCUUCCGCAAUGGGCGAAAGCCUGACGGAGCAACGCCGCGUGAGUGAUGAAGGUCUUCGGAUCGUAAAACUCUGUUAUUAGGGAAGAACAAAUGUGUAAGUAACUAUGCACGUCUUGACGGUACCUAAUCAGAAAGCCACGGCUAACUACGU